Long non-coding RNA from Heterocephalus glaber (naked mole-rat), 4005 nucleotides. NCBI's taxonomy places the organism in Eukaryota, Metazoa, Chordata, Mammalia, Rodentia, Bathyergidae. The record is from Ensembl.
CUGUCACAGAUGUUCAGUUGCCAGAUCUCCCUGCCAGACAGUUGAGAACCAAAGGUGGAGAAGCCCUGGCCUGUGUGGGCCAGUGGUCUUGCCCCCCACCAAGGGGAGGGCUGUGCUGGGUCCCUGCUUUAGCGCUAUGUGGGUGAGAGGUCCUCCCCUGAGCCCCAGCUCCAUCCAGAGCAGUAGCUUGCUGCCCUGGCAUUUAACUCUAGGAAGCCUCACAGCUUGUCUGGGCCCCAGCGUCUCUGGGCUUGGCACUGGGCCAAAGCUAGAAGGUAACCAGGGGAGUAGUGAGGGGGGCACUGGCCAGAGUGGACAUGAACUACAGUGGGAAGUCUCCAGGGAAUGGCUGGGUGCAUGCAUCCUGCUUUAACCUCAGAUAUGACUCAAUUCCCUCCAGGAGCUCUGGAGCCUGUGGACAGUGCUGUGACAAUGCAGCACUGGAGAGUCCAGGCUCCCCAGAACCCCAAACUCCCCACCCCACUGGGCUGGCCUCUUACCAUGUCCACAGCCACUUUCAUGGCCUCCUGUAGCCCAAAGAGCUUCCCGGCCACCAGGUAGACCCCCGCCGGUCCACACUGCACAGGCCUCGUGUACCCAGUGCUCCUGGGUGUCCCCAACAGGCUCUGAGGGGGCCUCCUUGCUGCACUCAUGCUUGCGGCUCUUGUCGACUGGUGCCAUCUCAGUCACCCCGUCACCCCGGCCAUCACAACAGUAGCAACUCUGCAGCCGCCGGGACAGGCCACGGGCACUGGUGCGCAGUGAGCCCUGCUUGGCUGGGUCAGCUGGGGCAUCAAGUCUGGGGGGGUUUUCCGGAACCAGUGGCGGCAGCAGCAGGGGUGGCAGCCACACACUCAAGGCCCUUGAGUGUUCUCUCGAGGAGCAACGGGGCCUCCUCACAGGUGCCUUCUGGACGCACCUUCUCCUUGAGUUUUGGCUUCUUUUUGGGGAGGCAGUGUUCAGGGUAGUAGGGUCCACAGGGUCUCCGAGGUCCUUGAAGUUGGCUGGGUUUUGGCAGAGGCAGCAGGCGAGGCAAGAGGUACUCAGGGCCUUGGAAACCACAGGCCCCAGGUGCAUCAUAGAGGAGAGAGGCAGGGAGGGCCGUGACUGCAGGAUGGAACCUCCAGGGAGUGUGGUCAGGGAAGCCCCAGCCACAUCCAAGAAGAAGGAGGAUGAAGAUGAGGAAGAGGAGGUGGAGGAUGAAGGCUUCCUGUGGGGCUUGGGCUCAUCCCCCCGGGAGUUAACAACAGUGCAUACAGUGGUGAAUGCAUCUCGCUUCUCCACCCGCACAAAGGGCGAGAAGGCAGGGGUCCGGCUGUCUGCCCUCAGUCGCUUGCAAGAGGAAAUGUACUUGAGGCGGAUUUCAGGCUCUGCAGGAUCCAGGGGGAGCACCUGCUGCUGCCGCCUCCGCUGGCACGCCCCUUACAGGGUGAAGUAUUGGUGUUUUUGGCCCGGCCCAGGUGAGGCGCUUCCGCUUGGAAUAGCUGCUGUAGUUGGCAUGGCCUGGCUGCUUCUGUGCCCUUGUCUGGGGCUGGCAGGACCGGCCCUCAGAGGGCUGGGAAGCCAGGCCCAGCUCCUCUGUCUUUGGCUUCUUGCCUCCACCAGAGUUGUCCUCGCCAGCCCCUGUGUGCUGCUGGCCCUGUCUCUGGGACUGAGGAGCAGAGUUGGACCAAGGUAGGGCCGCUUCUCCAGGGGGCCUUUGGGGGAGUCCGAGGCCUCCAGCCCUGCCUUUCCGGCUCCUCUUCUUAGGCGCCAGGGCAGUUGCCCCAGGCUGUAGGGCCUCCGGGGAGGUGAAGGCCUCAGUUUUGAAACAGUCAGCAGAGGACAGUUUCUUACUGUUCACAGGAUUUGCCUUUUAAGGACCUGCUGGCUGGAUUUCUGCAUAAUGGGUCAGCUCCCAAAGCUGCUGGGAGCUUCUGCCCAGUACCCAUGCUUAUCAGACCUUCUUCUGCCCUUGCUGGGCUGCCCCCAGCACUCUUGAGGCCACCUCGAUCCUUCUCAGGGAGGGCUGGGCUCAGAGGUGUCCCUGGAGGGGCCCCUGGCACUUUGCAUGUGAACUUCUUGAGGCCAGGUGAGGUGAUCUUCUGCACGAUGGCCUCCAGCUUGAGGCCCGACCCUUCGGGGUGGGAGCACCUUGGUCUUCAUGGCCCCCUGGAAGGGCUGCCCGUGAGGUGAGCUUGAUGCAGGUAUCGGGGGCUCUCGGGGGGUGAGGGUUUCAUGGUGGGCUCGCUGUUGCCCUUGGGCUUGGUCUUUUUGGGAGAAGACACCCUCCUGAAGAGGGCAGAGGAGCCCUCGGCCCCCUCCUCCUUCCCAUCUCCCCCAUUGCUACUGGUGGUGGUAGUGCUGCUGCUACUCCGUAAAACCAGGUUCCGCUUCUUGGUGGGGACUGGUGCCAUGAAGGCAGACUUCCUUUUUGAGUGUGUGGAGAGGCUGAUCAGAAAGCUUGCCCCCAGUGCAGGGCUUGGGGACCCUUGCUCGCUGGCUCACCCCUGCCCUCCUUCUGGGGGCUACUGGAGACCUUGAACGUGGUGGGCAGGUGGCUGUUGGCAAGGAGCUUCUUGGUGGUGCGGCAGUUUGGGAGCCGACUCUCUGCAGGCCGCCGCCGCGCUGGAGUAGAAAACCUCCAGGGGCUUCGUGCGGGACCGGAGGAUCAUGGAGCGCUGGUCCUUGCUAGGAGUACUGGGCGAGUCUGUCUCCUUGGUUUUGGAGCCCAUAGGGCUGCUGUCUGAGGGCCACCGGCAGGGCAGCUGGGUUGCUGGGGCUGGAUGCGGCCUUGGGUGAAGGUUUCCCUACCCUCUUGCCUGACUUGAAGGCAGCUCGCUGCUUGCCCCCCAGUUUGUCAGGGUGUGCAGGCGUAGUGGUCAGGCCUGGGGGUCCAGGUGUACGGGGUUCACUCAGGGCUGUGAGGGAGCGUGUACACAUCCUGGGGAUCCCUUCUGAGGUGCCCCGGCCUGGGGCCCCAGCUCCUUCCAGCUGUCCUUGGGGAGGCCCUGUGCAGGAUUCAGGGAGCAAAAGGUCUUUGGGCAGCACUGGUGCCCUGCAUGGGGAGUCCUCAGCCUCAGGCAGUCCCGGUGCACCCGACCGGCUCCGUAAACUUUUGCCCCGGGGCACAGGCUCUUUCUUAGCAAUGGGUGCCUCAGGCACUGCUGGCUUGUUUGGCUUCUGGGCCACGGAAGCUUCUGAGGUGGUGGAAUCGCCUGGAGCCCGCUCUCCCUCAGAACCCUCUUCCCCUGGCUUCAUGUGGGACAGGGAAGACUCAAACCAGCUCUGGACCUUCGACUCAGCACCCACAGUGGGGCCUAGCAAGAUGACAGACUCCCCAGAGAGGUGGCAUGGGGAACCCCAGCUGGCCUUGGAGUCCAAUACUUCUUCUACUUCCUCCUUGGUGCAGAUGAGGGGGGCCUUCGGCGACAGUGGGUCCUGCAUGCUGGGCCUCUGCUCUGGGCUGCCCAGUAGCUCACACAGGGAGGAGUACUCCUCCUCAGCCUCCAGGUCCUCCCUUUCUGCCUGGGGGCGGCAGCAGUGGCAGGUCCCCAAAAUCUGCAGCAGAGCAGCAGUGCCGGCUGUCCUCCAGCCACCGGUCAGCCUUACUCACAUCAUUGGGGCACUGUAACAUCCCACCCACCUCCUCCUUCACCCCACCCGCCUCCUCCUGCUUGAAGUCCCUGGGCAGUGCAACUGCCUUUUCCCGAGGGGGUCCUCUUCCUGGAAGCCCAGGCAGGCCCGAAGCCUCGUGGCUGUCCCCUUUGCCCACACCAUCUGAGGCCCUUCCACCCUGCUCCAGGCCUUUGGCAAGCUCACCAGGGUGCAGUCCCCACCGAGGACAAGCAUCGCCCAGGUUCUCCUCUGGCCAUGCAAAGGGGUUGGCACUGUCUGCUGAGCUGGCAGUAGUUGUAUCUGGAAAGCAGUCAAAAGCUGUUGUUGUGGGGUCUGGAGUGGGAGCCCCAAGGGUGGGCUUGGUCAGUAAGUGGAAAAAGUGGAAUUCAGACUUAAUGGAAGGCUAGG